UACGAAGGGGGCUAGCGUUGCUCGGAAUCACUGGGGCGUAAAGCGCACGUAGGCGGAUAUUUAAGUUAGGGGUGAAAUCCCAGGGCUCAACCCUGGAACUGCCUUUAAUACUGGGUAUCUCGAGUCCGAGAGAGGUGAGUGGAAUUCCGAGUGUAGAGGUGAAAUUCGUAGAUAUUCGCAAGAACACCAGUGGCGAAGGCGGCUCACUGGCCCGAUACUGACGCUGAGGCACGAAAGCGUGGGGAGCAAACAGG
RNAcentral lists this ribosomal RNA (254 nucleotides) under uncultured bacterium. Its description in RNAcentral is "partial 16S ribosomal RNA". It matches the Rfam family "Bacterial small subunit ribosomal RNA", at positions 524 to 776 of the family's 1533-position model. The record is from RNAcentral.